RNAcentral lists this long non-coding RNA (867 nucleotides) under Physcomitrium patens. Its description in RNAcentral is "long non-coding RNA (PPAT_LNC009993)". The record is from RNAcentral. Lineage: Eukaryota; Viridiplantae; Streptophyta; Bryopsida; Funariales; Funariaceae.
UUUUCUAUGUGUAUAAGAAUUUUGAAAUCAAUUAAACGAUGCAAAAGAGAGAUAUUGGCUUUGGAAGAUUGGCAUCAAGAUUGGAGAAGGAGGCCGGCCAAUAUCCAAGCACAUUUUUGAAGUUAUCGCCAAUUUGGUAACUCUGAUCCUUUUUAAUUUUUUUGUACUUGUUUUUAACUUAAUUUUUAAGAAGUAUGAAAAAUUUGAGUUAAGAUCAACGGUUUAUUUAUUAGCUAUUGAGGUUUAAAUCUAUUAUAGGAAUUACUAGGAUUUGGUUUAGGAUUUGAUUAGAGUUUGGUUUAGGGUUUAGGAUUUGGAUUAGGGUUUGAUUUAGGGUUUAGGAUUUGGUUAGGAUUUGGUUUAGGGUUUAGAAAUUGUAUUAGGAUUUGAUUAAGAUUUGGUUAGGAUUUGAUUUAGGAUUUGGUUGGAAUUUGGUUUAAGAUUUGUUUAGGGUUUGAUUUAGGAUUUGGUUUAGGAAUUAGUUAGGGUUUUAUUUAGGAUUUGGAUUAGGAUUUGGUUAGGAUUUGAUUUAAGGUUUAGGAUUUGAUUUAGGAUUUGGUUAGGGUUUGGUUUAGGAUUUGGUUGGGGUUUGAUUUAAGAUUUGUUUAGGAUUUGAUUUAGGGUUUAGGAUUUUAUUAAGAUUUAAGAUUCAAUUUUUUUUGGCUUAAAGUUUGAAUGAACUUCAAUAGGAUUUUAAUUAGAAUUAAAUUAAGAUUGAAUUGAGAUGUAUUUGAGUGAUAUUUGUGAUCUUUCUAAUAUUUCUUUAAGAAUUCUUAUUAUUUGUUUGAAAUUUCUUUGAGGUUUCUUUGAAUUUGAUUAAGCUGGCUUACCAUUAUUAUGGUCUAAUUAGAGUAUUGUUAGUAUUCU